Molecule: non-coding RNA, 129 nt
Organism: Talaromyces proteolyticus
Lineage: Eukaryota; Fungi; Ascomycota; Eurotiomycetes; Eurotiales; Trichocomaceae
Source: the annotation of a RefSeq genome assembly
GCACCCAUGGUCUAGUGGUAUGAUACAUCACUAGUAAUAUACUAGUUCAUGAUGGGGUCGGAAUGAUACUAUCACUAGUAACUUGCUAGAUUAAUGAUGGGGUCGGGAGUUCAAUUCUCUCUGGGUGCA